This 101-nucleotide ribosomal RNA is filed under the name uncultured bacterium. Its description in RNAcentral is "partial 16S ribosomal RNA". It matches the Rfam family "Bacterial small subunit ribosomal RNA", at positions 1384 to 1482 of the family's 1533-position model. The record is from RNAcentral.
UACACACCGCCCGUCACACCACGAAAGCCGGUUGUACUCGAAGUCGCUGAGCCAACCCGCAAGGGAGGCAGGCGCCGAAGGUAUGGUCGGUGAUUGGGGUG